Molecule: ribosomal RNA, 253 nt
Filed under: uncultured bacterium
Lineage: Bacteria
Description: partial 16S ribosomal RNA
Rfam family: Bacterial small subunit ribosomal RNA
Source: RNAcentral
UACGUAGGGGGCAAGCGUUGUCCGGAAUCAUUGGGCGUAAAGCGCGUGUAGGCGGCCCGGUAAGUCCGCUGUGAAAGUCGGGGGCUCAACCCUCGGAUGCCGGUGGAUACUGUCGGGCUAGAGUGCGGGAGAGGCGAGUGGACUUCCUGGUGUAGCGGUGAAAUGCGCAGAUAUCAGGAGGAACACCAAUUGCGAAGGCAGCUCGCUGGAACGUUACUGACGCUGAGGCGCGAAAGCGUGGGGAGCAAACAGG